Molecule: transfer RNA, 114 nt
Organism: Cyphellophora europaea CBS 101466
Lineage: Eukaryota; Fungi; Ascomycota; Eurotiomycetes; Chaetothyriales; Cyphellophoraceae
Rfam family: tRNA
About the family: Transfer RNA (tRNA) molecules are approximately 80 nucleotides in length. Their secondary structure includes four short double-helical elements and three loops (D, anti-codon, and T loops). Further hydrogen bonds mediate the characteristic L-shaped molecular structure. tRNAs have two regions of fundamental functional importance: the anti-codon, which is responsible for specific mRNA codon recognition, and the 3' end, to which the tRNAs corresponding amino acid is attached (by aminoacyl-tRNA synthetases). tRNAs cope with the degeneracy of the genetic code in two manners: having more than one tRNA (with a specific anti-codon) for a particular amino acid; and 'wobble' base-pairing, i.e. permitting non-standard base-pairing at the 3rd anti-codon position.
Source: Rfam
GCCCUUAUGGCGCAGUGGUAACGCGUCGCACUUGUAACCACUGGCGAGUCCUUUCAAGGCUUGCUCUAUGCCAUGCAUAUGCGAAGAUCUUCAGUUCAAUUCUGAAUGGGGGCA